This is a non-coding RNA of Misgurnus anguillicaudatus (oriental weatherfish), 5216 nucleotides long. The record is from RefSeq and is a predicted model, not a curated record. NCBI's taxonomy places the organism in Eukaryota, Metazoa, Chordata, Actinopteri, Cypriniformes, Cobitidae.
ACAUGAUUAGCAUGAAGCUGGCAUGAUGCUAGCAUGAUUAGCAUGAAGCUAACAUGAUGCUAGCAUGAUUAGCAUGAAGCUAGCAUGAGGCUAGCAUGAUUAGCAUGAAGUAAGCAUGAGGUUAGCAUGAUUAGCAUAAAGCUAACAUGAUUUAACAUGAAGUUAGCAUGAUUAGCAUGAUGCUAGCAUGAUUAGCAUGAAGCUAACAAGAUUUAACAUGAAGCUAACAUGAUUUAGCAUGAUGUUAGCAAGCUAUAUCAUGAAAUUAGCAUAAGGCUAGCAUGAAACUAGCAUGAAGCUAGUAUGACUUAGCAUGAAGCUAGCAUGAAGCUAGCAUGACCCAAAGACCCAACCCCCAUGUCUCUAUGAUGUUCAGAUCCAGAGAUAUAAGGCUUUGUUUAUUAUGUUGCUAGGGUGCUCAUAUUUGGUUGCUAGGGGCGUGGCUUAAUACCUCAAUAAGAAUCCCAUUGAGACUGAUUGGAUGCCUGAGUAAUAUGAGCCCACCCCUAUGUCUCUAUGACACGCUGGUGCAAAGAUAUGCAUCUGUGCUUUUUAUAAUGGUAGUCUAUGGGAGAUGUUGCUAGGGUACCCAAAAUUGUUGCUAGGGGCGUGGCUUAAUAGCUCUGUGGUGAUCCUAAGAGACUGAUUGGUUGCCUGAGUAAAAUGAGCCCACACCCAUGUCUCUACGACACUCUAAAGUGAAGAAAUUCCAUCUGGGACGUUUUUAUUCCCUUUUAUGGGCAUGUUUCCUGCCCCAUUAUAAGUCAAUGGGAAAUUUUGGGGGCCUCUUACACCCCAGGGGUACAGCUUACACCCCAUUGUGAGGUAUGUUCUUACACAGCCUGUCAGCCUCCUUAAAUGUGGUAAGCCACAAGUUUCUACAAGUUUCUCACUCACAGCUAUGACCCGUCAAAGUUUGUCUCAAUGUUAAGUCAAUGGAAAUUUUGGGGUGUUCGAGCCCCCCGUUUAGGAAUUCGGAAGGUCCCAUCAGUUAGAAAAGAUAUAGCACACUAAGUCAGACCAGUCUGAAGGUCUGUGGAAAAUUUGGUGCAUGUAGCUUGAAAGCCCUAGGACGAGUUAGUGUCAGAAAUUUGGGGUAGAAUAAUAAUAAUAACUAGAUAUUAAAGUUUGAAGACAAACUUUAUGUUGGCUUGAAAAAGCGAGUCUGAACAUUUUAAACAAUUUCACAGGAUAAACGUUUACUUGAGAAGUUUAGUUUAGUCUAGCUGUUUGCAUGUUUUAGUAUGAUGCUAGCAUGAUUAAACAAAGUUACCAUGACUUAACAUGAAGCUAACACGAUUUAACAUCAUUUAACAAAGUUAACAUUAUGUUAGCAUAAUUUAGAAUGAAGUUAGCAUGAUUUAGCAUAAAGUUAGCAUGAUUUAAUACAAAGCUAUAGCCUAUAGUUUAGCAUGAAGCUCCCUGCUGAAAAAACUGCAUCACACCAGCAUGGACCAGCAUGGAAAUUAUGCUGGUUUGAUGCUGGUUUAGCUGGUGGUUUCAAGCACCAAAACACAACAUAUGCUGGUCUUGCUGGUAUGACCAGCAUGGGAUGCUGGUGCUACUGCUUGUUUGGUGCUGGUUUAGCUGGUGCUAAUGCUGGUGCUGAUGCUGGUUUAGCUUGUGUUCAGUAGCUAACCAGCACCAAAACACAACAUAUGCUGGUCUUGCUGGUAUGCUGCUUUGUUCAGCAGGGCUAGCUUGAUUUAAUAUGAGGCUAGCUAGGAUGAUUAGCUAGGAUGCUGCUAUGCAGUUGCUAUGUAAUUGUUAGCUACAAGAUCAGAGUAUGCAGUAAACAUGAAGGUUUUGAUGCUUGAAACUUCAAUAUAUUUAAAUUCAUUAUUAGUUGGGAAAACAUUUAUGCAGCAUUUUUCGGACAAUAAUGUAAUGCAUAAUGAUAUUCAUGUUUUUUUACAUCUGGGAACUGAUACACAGUAUACUUUAAUGCACACUGCUGUUGUUUUUAUGUGAAUAUUGAUGCAUCUUUUCUUUUAUCUAUGUUUUAGACAAGAUAAAUAGGAUGUUGACCUUUGAUUUUUCCCAGCUGGUGCUUUACUGCAACAUCUAUGUGAAUUGUUUGCCAUUUAAGAGGUUCACAAAUAGUCACUAGGAUAAUGACACUGAUGAUAGUGUGUCUGUACCUAUUGAUUGAAACCUUUAUUGCCCCGAAGGGAAUUUGUUCUGCACUCAAGGAAGCCACAUUAACAAACAUCCAACGACAUGGCAAACAUAAAAAACCAAAACAUAAACAACACAAGACAAUAAUUAUAGCAAUAAUAAUGGCAUACAAUAAGUCCAAUAUCUAAAUAAAUCGAUAGCUAAUUAAAAAUGUCUAAUUAAAAAUGUCUUUAAAAAAUUAUUUUUUGUGCCUCUGUCUGAUCUGUUCAGUAACUGAAUGCUCCUCGGUACAAAUGAUGUAAUGGCACGUUUCGUUUUUGUUGAUGGCAUUCGAAAUCUACAUCCAGAUGGGAGUAAGAAGAACUCUAAGAAAAGUGGGUGGGAUGGAUCAUCCAGUAUCCUCAAUGCCAGAUUGAGGGUAUACUGGUCUGUAAGAUUGGAGAUGGUUUUAACAUCAGAUCCAGUAAUUUUUCUGCCCAUUUUAGUCACCUUAUCCAGCAUAUUCCUGUUCUAUCAGUGCCAUCUUAUCACUGUGUAAUAUUUUAGGCCAGAGCUUCCCAAACUUAACACUGGUAAGCCCCCCCAAAAACAUAGCAAAAGCUCCACGACCCCCCCCCCCCCCAUUUGUAGUAUAACAUAUCUUUUUAAUAAAGCCGAUUGUCUCUUUGCACAUUACCAACAUUUAAUAACCAGUUUUUAAGAAUCUCAUGUGAAUCAUGAGAACUAUGGAAAGUAUUUUAUAUUCUGUUGAAAGAUGACGUAAAAAUUCUUUACAAAUAAAUGAAGAGUUUCGUUGCAAAACGAGAUAAAUCCAUUUUUUUACAUUUUUGUGAAAAUAUGUUUAUUAUUAUGUUAUCAUGUUAUUAUUUUGUUUUAUGGUGCUACUUAGCUGUAUUUUUUAAGUUAUGAAGGUUUAAAUCAAAACAAAACAACUGCAGUUGAAUUGAAAUUAAUUGGAAUGCACAACCAAAAAACAAGAUUUCUGAACAAUUAAAAAAAUGGUGGUUAUCUCGUCUUGCAACGAAACUCUUCAUAUAUAAAACCAUAACACUACAUACUUUCUGCAAAGUAUUUAUCAUUAUAACACAAAGGGGUGGUUUCCCGGACAGGGAUUAGACUAGUCCUAGACUAAAAUAAAUAUAAGAGCUGUCCAAACUGAAAACAACAUGCACUGACAUAUCUUAAAAUACAUCAGUGCCCUUUGUUUUUCCUUAAAAUGCACGCCAGUAUGUUUUUAGUAAGGCAUUUUUAUUCAAACUAGUUAUAUUUCAUAAUUAAACUAAGGCCUUGUCCUGUCUUAAGGUAAUCCCAGUCUGGGAAACCACCCAAAAGUGUGUAACAGAAGCUACAUAGCUCACAAAUAGUUCAUAAAUCUAUUGCAAUGAAUUACAUAACUAUGUUAAAAAAUAUAAAAAAAUAUAUAAAAACGUUUAAGCAAUGUAUCUCACCUCAGUAUAAUAAAAAAAUGAAAUAAAUAUAAACAAAUAUACAAUAUAUACAUAAAUACGCUUUAAUAUCACAUGAUUUUUUUAUUUAGCCUAGUCAAGGUCCCCCGCAGUACUGCGACGGCCCACUGGGGGGCAGCGGCCCACAGUUUGGGAAGCACUGUUUAAGGCAAAGAAUUUAUCAAUUUAUUGUAGAAUUGUCCAUUUUGGGCAUUUCUCAAAGUUAAUCAAUUAAAUAAAAUAACGAACAAAAUGAUAAGCAUUUUAUAUAUAUAAGAGCAAAUGAGUUCAUAUGGCCAUUGAUAGCAUUAUAUUUAUUUUAUUUUCAUUUAUAUCACUGUUUAAGGAAGAUUUUCUUGUUUUAUUAUUUUUAAUAUUAUGGUUUAAUAUUGUCUGCCCCGUAUCCAAAGCUCAAAUGUGAUAAUAUUUUAUAUAUAUUUUUGAAAUAUUUUUGUUACACGACUAGUAUUCAGGUAUUAGGUAACAUCACGUGAUUAAUUCAAACCAAUGAGACGACAGCUUUGGACGAGAGUCUGUAUAGCUAAUGAGCUUGCUUCCGGUUCUCACUGGUUUUGCCUUCACUGAGCGAGCGCCACUUUCUCAGCUAUCUCUUGAGACAUUUUUGUGGUAAGUCAUUUAUAUAACAAUCUCUGUUGCAACAUAAUACUUUUUUUCUGAACAGUUAACCUUGCACAUGAUAUUUAAGUAGUAAUGUUUAAUUUUUCUUUCUUUUGCUCUUUUGAAAACUUUAACUGCUUUAGCUAAACCUCAGCCAAAUUCCUGGUUUUGCUGGGCAACAGCACCUAUUUCAUACAAUUUUUUAUAGCGAACCCAAAGGCUCUUUUCAGAGCCAUCCACAUUGCGUCACUGAUUGGACAUCUAAUUCAUCUUUAUUGGACAUCUAAUUCAUCUUUCAGCUUGCCUCUUAAAAACUGCCAGGAAACCCAAAAAAUCACCGAUUCAACUAAAAAAACAAAGCCUACAAUUUCUACCCAAAAAAAACGACCCAAUUUUUUACCCCACCCAACCAAUCUGUUGCCCUAACCCCCAUACACCGACUUUCCCCAAAACAGAACGUCCCUUUAACUUUUUGCUUUGACAGAAAAAGUGAGAACAGAACUACCUACAGCUCCAGUGUGCCCUGCUGCCUUGAGUGUCUUCACAAAGCAACGUUGAUUAGAGGACUGCGUUGGGAAAUCAACACCAUCAACACACACAAUAAUUUACUAUAGUUUUAAAAUUACAUAAUUUCCUAUAGUCUUUUAGACUGCUUAUAAUAGAUAAUACACAUUACAGUACUUUUAAAAGUCAUUAAUAUAUCAGUAAAAAAAAAAUUGUUUUUGAAGUUCAUCUUUGAAACGUAUUACAUUUAUAUCUGAGUCUUUUCACAUUUGUCUAUACUCUACUAAUUAAUUGCAUUAGUAAUAUUGCCUUUGGUUAUCAUUUCUGUACAAUAUUGGGGUUAACAGUUCAACAGUUCCAUUGCUAUAGUCUUGUGUGUUUGUAUAUCUAAUUUCUUGACUGUUUUAACGGUGAAAUUUUAGUACAGUACUUUAAUAUAUCAGUAAAAUAUUCUAAGUUUGACUGUUGUUGUAACUGCUAUUUGAAUAGACUACAUUUAAAGGUCAUUAAAAUAUUUUGGUUUGCCAAGUU